Molecule: ribosomal RNA, 267 nt
Filed under: uncultured bacterium
Lineage: Bacteria
Description: partial 16S ribosomal RNA
Rfam family: Bacterial small subunit ribosomal RNA
Source: RNAcentral
CUUAGUGGCGGACGGGUGAGUAACACGUGAGCAACCUGCCUUUCAGAGGGGGGAUAACGUUUGGAAACGAACGCUAAUACCGCAUAAAAUAUCGGAGUCGCAUGGCACUGAUAUCAAAGGAGUAAUCCGCUGAAAGAUGGGCUCGCGUCCGAUUAGGCAGUUGGCGGGGUAACGGCCCACCAAACCGACAAUCGGUAGCCGGACUGAGAGGUUGAACGGCCACCAUUGGGACUGAGACACGGCCCAGACUCCUACGGGAGGCAGCAG